AACGCGAAGAACCUUACCUGGGUUUGACAUACACCCUGCCGCUCCAGAGAUGGGGCUUCUUUUGGGGGUGUACAGGUGGUGCAUGGCUGUCGUCAGCUCGUGUCGUGAGAUGUUGGGUUAAGUCCCGCAACGAGCGCAACCCUCGUUCUAUGUUGCCAGCACGUCCUUCGGGAUGGUGGGGACUCAUAGGAGACUGCCGGGGUCAACUCGGAGGAAGGUGGGGAUGACGUCAAGUCAUCAUGCCCCUUAUGUCCAGGGCUUCACGCAUGCUACAAUGGCCGGUACAAAGGGCUGCGAUCCCGUAAGGGGGAGCGAAUCCCAAAAAGCCGGUCUCAGUUCGGAUUGGGGUCUGCAACUCGACCCCAUGAAGUCGGAGUCGCUAGUAAUCGCAGAUCAGCAACGCUGCGGUGAAUACGUUCCCGGGCCUUGUACACACCG
This 438-nucleotide ribosomal RNA is filed under the name uncultured bacterium. Its description in RNAcentral is "bacterial SSU rRNA". It matches the Rfam family "Bacterial small subunit ribosomal RNA", at positions 958 to 1392 of the family's 1533-position model. The record is from RNAcentral.